UGGGGAAUUUUGGACAAUGGGCGAAAGCCUGAUCCAGCAAUGCCGCGUGUGUGAAGAAGGCCUUCGGGUUGUAAAGCACUUUUGUCCGGAAAGAAAUCCUUGGCUCUAAUACAGUCGGGGGAUGACGGUACCGGAAGAAUAAGCACCGGCUAACUACGUGCCAGCAGCCGCGGUAAUACGUAGGGUGCAAGCGUUAAUCGGAAUUACUGGGCGUAAAGCGUGCGCAGGCGGUUUGCUAAGACCGAUGUGAAAUCCCCGGGCUCAACCUGGGAACUGCAUUGGUGACUGGCAGGCUAGAGUAUGGCAGAGGGGGGUAGAAUUCCACGUGUAGCAGUGAAAUGCGUAGAGAUGUGGAGGAAUACCGAUGGCGAAGGCAGCCCCCUGGGCCAAUACUGACGCUCAUGCACGAAAGCGUGGGGAGCAAACAGGAUUAGAUACCCUGGUAGUCCACGCCCUAAACGAUGUCAACUAGUUGUUGGGGAUUCAUUUCCUAGUAACGUAGCUAACGCGUGAAGUUGACCGCCUGGGGAGUACGGUCGCAAGAUUAAAACUUAAAGGAAUUGAC
RNAcentral lists this ribosomal RNA (565 nucleotides) under uncultured bacterium. Its description in RNAcentral is "partial 16S ribosomal RNA". It matches the Rfam family "Bacterial small subunit ribosomal RNA", at positions 355 to 914 of the family's 1533-position model. The record is from RNAcentral.